Molecule: long non-coding RNA, 445 nt
Filed under: Callithrix jacchus (white-tufted-ear marmoset)
Lineage: Eukaryota; Metazoa; Chordata; Mammalia; Primates; Cebidae
Description: lncRNA (ENSCJAG00000079543.1)
Source: RNAcentral
CCAUGGAGCUGCUGCAUCUUUCAUUUACUCAGUAAAAAUAGGCUGACUUCUGCAAAUGGCCACUUCCCUUCCCCUGACCGAGCUCGAUUGUUCCUGUUCCCUCUCUAACUGAUGUUCUGGACCGACAAAAUGAACCUGGUACCUCCUUUGGAAUUGUGGAGACCACUCGGCUUCUGCGUCUCUCUCUCUAGGAGCUGCUUUCCAGAGCUGCCUCUUAUUCGGCCAUCUUGGGAUCCCCAGAAGUAUCUUUUUAAAAGGUUGCCAGCUGCUUCAGCGCCAACUUGGCAUGAAUAAGGCACAAGAAAAGUCAAGGAAUUCACCCUCCUGUUUCUCAAGAUCCCCUACCAGUCUGCCUUCUCUUCUUCACCUUUUGCAAUUUUCUCGUGUCUGUUUCAUGGAUGGUGUUCAGGGAUUUCAGUUGUACCUCGUGGGAGGAGUAAAGUAC